This 253-nucleotide ribosomal RNA is filed under the name uncultured bacterium. RNAcentral's name for it is "partial 16S ribosomal RNA". It matches the Rfam family "Bacterial small subunit ribosomal RNA", at positions 524 to 776 of the family's 1533-position model. The record is from RNAcentral.
UACGUAGGGUGCGAGCGUUAAUCGGAAUUACUGGGCGUAAAGUGUGCGCAGGCGGCGUCGCAAGUCGAGUGUGAAAGCCCCGGGCUUAACUUGGGAAUUGCGCUCGAAACUACGAUGCUGGAGUGUGGCAGAGGAAGGUGGAAUUCCACGUGUAGCGGUGAAAUGCGUAGAGAUGUGGAGGAACACCAAUGGCGAAGGCAGCCUUCUGGGCCAACACUGACGCUCAUGCACGAAAGCGUGGGGAGCAAACAGG